Non-coding RNA from Acanthosepion pharaonis, 108 nucleotides. NCBI's taxonomy places the organism in Eukaryota, Metazoa, Mollusca, Cephalopoda, Sepiida, Sepiidae. The record is from the annotation of a GenBank genome assembly.
UGCAGCCACAUCAUGUUGAAACAUUGCUUCCUGUACGAUCACCAAAGUUAAGUAACAUUGAGCCUGCUCAGUACCUAGAUGGGUAACCACUUGGGAAUACCAGGUGCU